GUAAUUCACCCUUCUCUCACU
This 21-nucleotide microRNA is filed under the name Monodelphis domestica (gray short-tailed opossum). RNAcentral's name for it is "mdo-miR-7398s-3p". Lineage: Eukaryota; Metazoa; Chordata; Mammalia; Didelphimorphia; Didelphidae. The record is from miRBase by way of RNAcentral.